UGUAUACAAAAAUAUGUUAUGUUUAAAAAUGAAACAAUUGUUUGAUUAAAUUUUAAUCUUUUUGAUUGGAUAAAACAAAUUAUUUCUGAUAGAUAUUUCUUAAAUGAGAAACAAUUGUUGGAGUGAAUCAAUAUUUUUUUGUUUAGGAUUUAACAUACGAUUUAAAUGUAUUAACUUCAUUCAAAGAAUAGAAUUAUACUUGGUGCCAAGUUGUAUUAUUUUGUUUUUAUGAACAUAGGAAAUAUUGUUUGAGGCAAGCUAUAUAUUUGUCAUUGGCUCAAGUUAUGUAAUAUAGAUGUGAACCAUUACCCUACAUUUUUUUAAUUGGUUCAAUGAAAGACUUUUUCCAGUGUAGAUCGGUCAAACGAGUGGGCGCGUCGUUGGAUACCUGACUCUCUCACGCGGGAAGGCAAAACAGAUUUAGCCAUGUCCAACGGCAACAGCAGCAGUAACAUUGCUUCGGAUGAGUUGGAUGACACUGCACAGGUCUGGAACACACACACCAUCAGGCCAUCGAAAAACCUUAACCUCCCCAGCGUUCGGCCGAACGUGAUGUUUGCAUUACCUGAACUCUAUGGGACAAGAGACUUCCUUUCCCAAAUUGAAGAUGGUGAUUUUCAAUUGUGCAAAAAUGAAUGUAUCUUCCGCCAGACCAAACCGUUUGAUCCAGAUCUAUAUGAACUAUGCAACAUCUUUAUGGCUGAUUCCAAUCUCACUCUAGCAACAGCUCCAUAUCAGGCAGUGAAUUUGUACAUGCACCUCAGAGAGGCCAUCAGGGCAUGUGUGUAGGUCAGACGUGUUUAGUUGUGUCUUGUGUUGAGCUUCGAAGUGGCAGGAUUUUUUGGUCACAUAAGUAAUUCACCUUGCUGUCCUUUUCCUUUAUAAGUUUCCUUUAAAGUCAUAGCUCAACAUCUCUAGCUUUUGGCAAAUGUUAUAUUCCUUUAAACGAUAGUUUAGAAACACAGAAAUGAGGGGGGGCUUUAUAGACAAAGCCUGUAAAAAGUAAAUCAAAUGGGUAUAAAUUUCAGAACUUUACUUUUAACAAAUGUAUCACUUUUUUCAGUUAGAUUUGUAUUUAACAAAAAAGGUAACUGGCUUCAGUAACUAAAUGUGAAUACUUAUUCUGAGUCUUUCAUGAUAGAAUAUCAUUGGAUUUCAAAUGUUGGGACCAAAAAAAUGGAUGUAUCUAUCGAACUCUGAACUUCUGAUGGCCAAUCAGUACAAACAUUGACAUGUUACCGACAGAAAAGCAUUUUGAAAUUAUCUGUGCAUUUACAACCUGUUGUUUCAAAUACUGAGAGAGUGUUAAAAAACGACAACACACGCUAUUCAUGUUUUUGUUGUGACUGGAACUUUUUAAUUACUGUAAUUAUAUUGCUAUCCCGUAUGUGGAACUCUGAAUAAACAAAAAAUCGCCAGACAAGUUUGGUGCUGUUUCCUGAUAUUUUCAGGCCAUAUUUUUCACUGGCCACAUUAGCUUGAUGAAAAACGUAACAAUGAAUUAAUAAUUGUACUUGUUCAAGAACAAUUGACUUAAUUGUUCUUGUAAUCAGACUAGUAUUACUUUUCAUACCAUGACAAGUUCCUGCAGUCUUCUUCUUAAUGUCACAUGAUGUUGCUGUGGUGUCAAGACAGCUGAUUGUAUACAGCAGUGGGUGCGGUCGUCCUGCCGGUUCAAGUAGGAUGACCUGAAACCUGUAUAAAAUCAGCUGUCUUGACACCACAGCAACAUCAUGUGACAUUUAGAAGAAGACUGCAGGAACAUUAACAAUCAAAACAUGUCAGGGUAUGAAAAGUAAUACUAGUUGUAUAUUAUGUACACUAUCUAUUAUUAACUAGUUAGUUUCGUCGUCUGAGACGUCUCGCUAGCCUUCGUGACACUCCUCUGGGAUCGAGCCCUUUCAACAACAACCGCACAUCCUCUUUCCUCACACGCAGUCCAUGCUCCCUGCAUUUAGCGUACAUCCAUCGGUACCCGUGAAGCU
Molecule: long non-coding RNA, 1985 nt
Organism: Gadus macrocephalus (Pacific cod)
Lineage: Eukaryota; Metazoa; Chordata; Actinopteri; Gadiformes; Gadidae
Exons: 3
Source: RefSeq, a predicted model, not a curated record